GUAUCAGUGGGUAUUAAAGUGUAUCAGUGGGUAUUAAAGUGUAUCGGAGGGUAUUAAAGUGUAUCAGUGGAUAUUAAAGUGUAUGUGUUUAUGACUGUGUAAUAAAUUGUACUGGUGUGUGUUGUAGAAAGGCAGGGUGUAGGUCUGUGGGAGAACUCGUAUCUGUAAUGGUGUGGGUGGUGUAGGUCUGUGGGAGAACUCGUAUCUGUAAUGGUGUGGGUGGUGUAGGUCUGUGGGAGAACUCGUAUCUGUAAUGGUGUGGGUGGUGUAGGUCUGUGGGAGAACUCGUAUCUGUAAUAGUGUGGGUGGUGUAGGUCUGUGGGAGAACUCGUAUCUGUAAUGGUGUGGGUGGUGUAGGUCUGUGGGAGAACUCCUAUCUGUAAUGGUGUGGGUGGCCAAUUCUUCUCCAGCUGUUAUCACAGGAGAACAAUGCAAUGAUGAUGUUCCACUCUACAGGUAAUUGGUUCUAACCCCCUCUCUGUUCCACUCUACAGGUAAUUGGUUCUAACCCCCUCUCUUUUCCACUCUAUAGGCCAUUGGUUCUAACCCCCUCUCUGUUCCACUCUAUAGGUCAUUGGUUCUAACCCCCUCUCUGUUCCACUCUAUAGGUCAUUGGUUCUAACCCCCUCUCUGUUCCACUCUAUAGGUCAUUGGUUCUAACCCCCUCUCUGUUCCACUCUAUAGGUCAUUGGUUCUAACCCCCUCUCUGUUCCACUCUAUAGGCCAUUGGUUCUAACCCCCUCUCUGUUCCACUCUAUAGGGAAUUGGUUCUAACCCCCUCUUUGUUCUACCCUAUAGGUAAUUGGUUCUAACCCCAUCUGUUUCCACCCCCGGGUCUCUGCUGUCAGUCAGCUUCUUAUAAUCCCUUCUCUGUUCCACUCUAUAGGUCAUUGGUUCUAACCCCCUCUCUGUUCCAUAAUAUAGGCCAGUGGUUCCACCCUUCUGAUAUUUCCCUGUUGUCUGAAUGGCCCCUUCCUCUCCCCUCCUUCCUCUGCUGGUGUAAAGGAGCUCCAUGGUCAGGUUGUUAAAGGUCUA
Long non-coding RNA from Oncorhynchus keta (chum salmon), 1035 nucleotides. RefSeq lists it as uncharacterized. The record is from RefSeq and is a predicted model, not a curated record. The transcript is spliced from 5 exons. Lineage: Eukaryota; Metazoa; Chordata; Actinopteri; Salmoniformes; Salmonidae.